Molecule: ribosomal RNA, 834 nt
Filed under: uncultured eukaryote
Lineage: Eukaryota
Description: bacterial SSU rRNA
Rfam family: Bacterial small subunit ribosomal RNA
Source: RNAcentral
GAGGAAUAAGCAUCGGCUAAUGCCGUGCCAGCAGCCGCGGUAAUACGGGGGAUGCAAGCGUUAUCCGGAAUCAUUGGGCGUAAAGCGCCUGUAGGUUGUUUGUUAAGUCUGUUGUUAAAGACUAGGGCUCAACCCUAGAAAUGCGAUGGAAACUAAUAGACUAGAGUAUGGUAGGGGUAGAGGGAAUUUCUAGUGUAGCGGUGAAAUGCGUAGAUAUUAGAAAGAACACCGGUGGCGAAGGCGCUCUACUGGACCAUUACUGACACUCAGAGGCGAAAGCUAGGGGAGCAAAAGGGAUUAGAUACCCCUGUAGUCCUAGCCGUAAACGAUGGAUACUAGAUGUUGCGCAUUACGUGCAGUAUCGUAGCUAACGCGUUAAGUAUCCCGCCUGGGGAGUACGCUCGCAAGGGUGAAACUCAAAGGAAUUGACGGGGGCCCGCACAAGCGGUGGAGCAUGUGGUUUAAUUCGAUGCAACGCGAAGAACCUUACCAGGGCUUGACAUACUACAGAUCCCUUUGAAAAAAGGGAGUGCCUUCGGGAAUGUAGAUACAGGUGGUGCAUGGCUGUCGUCAGCUCGUGUCGUGAGAUGUUGGGUUAAGUCCCGCAACGAGCGCAACCCUUAUUUUUAGUUACCAAUUCGUUGGGUUCUCUAGAAAGACUGCCGGUGACAAACCGGAGGAAGGUGAGGAUGACGUCAAGUCAGCAUGCCCCUUAUGUCCUGGGCUACACACGUGCUACAAUGGCUAAGACAAAGAGUCGCGAGCUCGCGAGAGUCAGCUAUCUCAUAAACUUAGCCCAAGUUCAGAUUGCAGGCUGCAACUCGCCUACAUGAA